RNAcentral lists this long non-coding RNA (226 nucleotides) under Medicago truncatula (barrel medic). Its description in RNAcentral is "lncRNA gene5924". Lineage: Eukaryota; Viridiplantae; Streptophyta; Magnoliopsida; Fabales; Fabaceae. The record is from RNAcentral.
UUGGUUAGUUAUUUACUACGAUUAUUGAUUUGGUUAUGAGUCAGUUCCUUCUCUUAAUUUUCUGUUUAUCUAAUAUUAUCCUCUUCAUGGGGAGAGAGUAACAAAUUAAUAGAGAAGUAACUGAAGAACUCGUAUAUAGGGCUGGAAAUGAGUCGACUCGAGUUCGGUUCGUUUAAAGUUCGCGAAUAGUUCAAUUCAGCUCGUUAAGUUCAGUUCAUUUGUUCAA